This 90-nucleotide transfer RNA is filed under the name Candidatus Pelagibacter communis. RNAcentral describes it as "tRNA-Ser". It matches the Rfam family "tRNA". From Rfam's summary of the family: Transfer RNA (tRNA) molecules are approximately 80 nucleotides in length. Lineage: Bacteria; Pseudomonadati; Pseudomonadota; Alphaproteobacteria; Candidatus Pelagibacterales; Candidatus Pelagibacteraceae. The record is from RNAcentral.
GGAGAGGUGUGAGAGUGGUUUAAUCAGCACGCUUGGAAAGCGUGUGUACUGUUAAAGGUACCCAGGGUUCGAAUCCCUGUCUCUCCGCCA